RNAcentral lists this transfer RNA (29 nucleotides) under Erebia ligea (Arran brown butterfly). RNAcentral's name for it is "partial tRNA-Met". Lineage: Eukaryota; Metazoa; Arthropoda; Insecta; Lepidoptera; Nymphalidae. The record is from RNAcentral. RNAcentral also lists the same sequence under 6 other names.
UUAAAAAUAAGCUAAAUAAAGCUUUUGGG